UACGUAGGCAGCAAGCGUUGUUCGGAAUUACUGGGCGUAAAGGGUUCGUAGGUGGCCAACUAAGUCAGACGUGAAAUCCCUCAGCUUAACUGGGGAACUGCGUCUGAGACUGGAUGGCUUGAGUGCAGGAGAGGAACGCGGAAUUCCAGGUGUAGCGGUGAAAUGCGUAGAUAUCCGGAGGAACACCGGUGGCGAAGGCGGCGUUCUGGACUGCUACUGACACUGAGGAACGAAAGCCAGGGGAGCAAACGGG
Molecule: ribosomal RNA, 253 nt
Filed under: uncultured bacterium
Lineage: Bacteria
Description: partial 16S ribosomal RNA
Rfam family: Bacterial small subunit ribosomal RNA
Source: RNAcentral